GGGAUUUGACAUCCGUGGAACCCGCUAUGAAAGUAGCGAGUGCUCACUUUGUGAGAACCACGUGACAGGUACUGCAUGGCUGUCGUCAGUUCGUGUCGUGAGAUGUUGGGUUAAGUCCCGUAACGAACGCAACCCCUGUCUUUAGUUGCCAGCAUUAAGUUGGGGACUCUAGAGAGACUGCCAAGGUGACAACUUGGAGGAAGGUGGGGAUGACGUCAAGUCCAUAUGGUCCUUACAUCCAGGGCGAGAAACGUGCUACAAUGGUUGGUACAAUGGGGAGCAAAAUCGCAAGAUCGAGCAAAUCCUCAAAACUAAUCUCAGUUCGGAUUGGAGUCUGCAACCCGACUCCAUGAAGUUGGAAUCGCUAGUAAUCGCGGAUCAGCAUGCCGCGGUGAAUACGUAUCCGGGUCUUGUACACACCGCCCGUCAAGUCAAC
This 436-nucleotide ribosomal RNA is filed under the name uncultured bacterium. RNAcentral describes it as "bacterial SSU rRNA". It matches the Rfam family "Bacterial small subunit ribosomal RNA", at positions 976 to 1406 of the family's 1533-position model. The record is from RNAcentral.